ACAGGGACUCUUGUGUGUUUCCAGGACAAUUAUGUUCUCCACGUAGCAACCAAGGCCUUGUCCAGAUCAGUUUUUGGCCUCUCAACCAAUUUUCUGUUUGCAUCAUAAAUACCUAGGCGGAAGCUUCCCAGGGAAUUAUAGUCUGGUGUCUUUAUAAAAAGCUGAAGGAACUGCCCGGACAGGAAGAGAUCAUUUCAGCCCAUUGAGUGAUUCCAUCUCAGGAGAACAUGGCGGCCAGCCAUAAUAGCAUGCUUUCUCUACCUUCUCUCACCAACUGAGAUCACAAAAGCAACUGUGGGACUUACAGAAAACAAUCUUGAUACUCAUUUGGGGACUGAUCUAUCUGAUAAUGGAGCGGCGCACCAGAAGAAUACAUAUAUUAUAUUCAUUUCUUCAAAUACAAAAAUUUUACAUUCCUCAAGUCCUCCACAUCACUUAUCCUUAAAGAGGGUUCUGAUGAAGCUGGACUCCAACCGUACACAGACAGAUGCUCCUCCUUGAAGGUGAAGCAGAAAAUCACUGGCCCCUUCUCAACUCUGAACUUCCCUCUCCAGGGGAUCCAGAGGUUUCCAUGCAUCUGCCGUAUGCCCCCCCCCCACCCAAUCCGCCUUCUAUUCAAAAGAACAACAACGGGGUAUUGAGUUUUUGUGAAUAUAAAUAAAACAUUAUGUAAUGAUGAAUCAACAAUAGUAAUAAGGUCUAUAACAAAAUUAAACAGCAGCAGCUGCAGCAUGGAACAGAUGGUGAGAAGCCAUGCCUAGAAAUCAGAAACAGCCUUUGUGCUGAAUAAGGAAACAGAGGCACACUGGACACUCCUGGAGAAACCCCUGUGGACCUCUGCGGUUUGGCCAGCAGGAGGUCUGACCCCUGAACAACAAACACACAAUCAAAGCGAGACAGUGGUGUGAGAAUUUGUUUGGAUCAAUUUUUCUUUCCAGCCUUGGACAGCUAUACGGGGUGACAUCUUCACAGAACCAAGCUCCUUGCAGAUUCUAGCACAUUCUGUUUCUCCAGCCACUGCCUGAGCAGUGCACAGAGCAUUUAUCCUGCACAUCUACAGGCCUUCGCUGAAUGUUCUGGAGUCAGUGUCGAUGUUCAUGUACCAAGGGCAACACCACCGAGCAAAAUGUCUGCAAGGUGAUUCCUCAGUCAAGGUUAAGGAGAUCAGGAGGUCAUGGCAACUUCAAGUCUUACCCACCCAUGGGCCUAAGCUAAUAACUGUUUUGAUUUUCCCUUCUGACAUUUAUGAGUGAAAUUUGCAGAUAAGAUCAAUCAGGCCAACAAGGGCUGAAGAGGAAAGUUCUCUCUCAUUCCUCAUAAACCACCUGCUUUUAAGACUUUCCUACAGACAAUAAAUUGUGACCAGCAUAAACACAGUUGCAAAGGGUACUACUUUUUCACUUUACUUAGAUUUUUAA
Molecule: long non-coding RNA, 1418 nt
Organism: Chinchilla lanigera (long-tailed chinchilla)
Lineage: Eukaryota; Metazoa; Chordata; Mammalia; Rodentia; Chinchillidae
Exons: 3
Source: RefSeq, a predicted model, not a curated record